AUAAAGUGUACUUUGUUGAAUUGGUAUUUACCUCCAUGCCCAUGAUAUAAGAUCCGAAUAGCAAAUUAUGUUUACUCUUAAUAUUUUAAAAAUUUAUGAAUUAAAAAAUGUGUUAUACCUAAUAAACUAGUUUAUUAAGGAGAAAAACGGUACUCGAACACUGGGGAACUGUUACCGACCAGUAACGGGCACGAUUCCACUGUACAGAAAGGUUCUGCGCGCGCGGCCAAGACUCUAUUAACAAUCCGCGAAACAUUGACCUUACCUACGCGCUGUCAUUCUGUGGAACUGGACUAUCGAACACUGUUAAUACAUUGGGGGACUGUUACCGACCAGUAACGGGCACGAUUCCACUGUACAGAAGGGAUCUGCGCGCGCGGCCAACACUCUACUAGCCAUCCACGAAACAUUGACCUUACCUACGCGCUGUCAUUAUGUGGAAAUGGACUAUCGAACUCCUUUUAUUUGAAUACAACCAGGACACAACUGAAUAAAUCAGUAAAUAUUCCAGUUCUUAGCUCUUUGUUCAGGAGAAUAUCGAAGGUUUUGCUCUAAGGGAAAUCUGAAUGUUCCUGUAAAAGACGUCCCUCUCCCCCGCUCGUCAAAAAACGACUUGCCGACCCAAGCGCGCAGAUCCCUUGACCCAUAUGUAUACGCCUGGCAUGUACGAAAUUCCUGGUUUCAUGCAGUUGUGGUUUGUUCUACAAAGGAGAAACAAAAUGUUUUAAUAUCUAAACGAGUUAGUGAAUAUAUUAUGAAGAUGAAACGUCAGUAUAUGGAAAAAUCGGCCAUAGUGGAUACCGUUACAACACCAAACAUGCAAUAGAAUUCGACAAAACUAAAGUAAUUACAAGAAGUCCAUACUAUUAUCCAAGGGUAAUAGGAGAAAUUAUAGAAAUAAUCAAGAAAGAAGCUGUCUUCAGUUAAGAUGAUAGCGUGAAUUUAUCUAAUGAAUCCGUCAAAAAGACAAAGAAGCCGUACAAAUCACUUUGGAAGCCGUUGGUGUUACUUUGGUCAUUGGAUGGUAUUAAGCUAUAACUAAACACAUGACACAUUCGUCCCUUUCAAGUCACCUCAAAUAAUCGAUGCAAAAUCCAUCGACUUGUAUUCAGGCUCUCUGUCGAGGGACGUUUUUCUUUUUCGCCAGCAAUGUGGGGAGAAACCCGCGCUGAUUGCCAAGGCAUUUGAGAUACUUAAAUUUUCGUGCCAAAUUAUUCAACGUGAUCUCAUUAGCGGAAAGUACCGAUCAUACAUUCCCCUGGCAAUUAAAGCGAAAUUCGGUGGCUCCGCACUGCGGACAGAAAAAGAAUAGAAAAUCCACGAGACAGCAUCUAAACAUCAACCUCAUGUCAUAUCGAGAUAGAAGGGGCGCAGAACGUGGACAAUGUACCUUAUCGCUUGGCGAACUCAACGAUGGAUUUCCGACACUUUAUUCUCAUAUUUAUUACUUCCUAUGGAUUGCCUGGUCGUCAAACUGUAACACGGAAGAACAAUAAGCAGACCCAAUAAUUGCUUUCUAAUAAAAUCGUUCAUCGUCAGUUACAAAAACUAAACGAAGAAUUGUUUUAUUGCCACUUUUUAUCUAACAUAUGUUAACAAGUUUUGGCUCACCACAGCGAGAGUGAAAUGUUUUAAUGAUUUAAUUGCGUUAACAUUAUUUAUACGCGGUGAAACGAGAACGAGAAAGUAUUGAUUACCAUUCUUUUUUACGUAUAAAAACACAACUCAAAACGUGAUUAGUUUUUUCGUGUUGCAUUUAGAAUUUACUCCUUUCUUAGGAGUCAAAGUCUCUUCGUUUGUAGUGAUGCACAUGAAAUGUUGUAUUUUACUCAAAAAUUAUGCUUUUUGCGAGUUGAAGUUGGUUCCGAUAACAUUGUAAGCUCUUUUUUUUCUUUUUCAUCUGGACUAAUUCUGAAAACUGAAGGGGGAUUCUUAUUUUACAUAACUAUCAAUGACUCAGGUGGUUUUAAAUUAUUCAAGAAAUCCAAACUAACUUGUUUUUCAAUAGAAAUUCGUCGAUGAUAUUGUUUAAUGAUCUCCACCAAACUGAAGUAUAACUAAUAGUUGUCCUGUAAGAUUUUAAUGGGUUUUAUGAAGUAUAUUAAAUAUAUGUUUUAGCCAUUCUGACUUGGAUUGUUGUGCCAUCAGUUCCCACGGGUCCCGGCCGCCGUCCCAAUCCCAACAAUCCACACCAAUGCAGCGCGUGCGGCCGCAGCUACAAGCAGAAAGGUCACCUGACGAGACACCUUCGCUACGAGUGUAACGUCGAGCGGCAGUUUGCUUGUCAGUUCUGCCCUUAUAAAGCGAAGCAGAAAGUCACGAUGCAUAAUCACACGUUAGCCAAACAUCGGGACCUUUUGGAUGUAGCUUCAUAUUGUGUUGAUUCUUGCCUGGAUUAAACACGUUAAUUUUGUAAACAGUGUUAGUUUUUUAUAUAAUCUGUUGAAUCUUUAUAUUGUUGGCUAUCUGUUUAGAGUGCACUUUCAUAUUAAUGAUCAGUAAUGACUCAUAAGCGGGUGCUUUUUCAAAUGUACUUGAGUUCUCAGGGUUACAAGAAUGUGUAGAGAAAUUAAAAUUAAGUAUGAUGCUUAGAGCAUUGGAUAUCAUUAUUUUAUCUUCACUGUGCAAUAGAAGCUAUGCCCGUUGUUUUUACAAACAAAUGGAAGCAUGAAAUUAGAUUAUUUUUCUUUCAUUAGGUGAAGUGUACAAAUACAUUUUGGAGGAAAAAUUCCAAAAUUGUUAAUGUGAAACUAUUGGGGCAUUUGUUUCGUAAAUUCUGUGGGUUUUACGAUUUAAUUUAUGUUGAAGGUGUUGUUAACUACAAAAUGGGUAAGCGUAGUCUUACAUGUCAUUUGAAACCCGUAAAUGAUACUAUGUAUUAAUGUAACUAGUUAAUAAAUAAUCCUUAUGCUCAGUCGGAAGAAAUAGUUAGAUUUUGUGAUAACAAAGAUUUUUAGAUAUAUCAAACUAUUCCUAUGGGAUUUACAUGUACUCAAUGUCUCGAUACCGUUCAAGAUACACAAAAAAGGCUCACAACAAAAUGUUACAAGCAUUACAUAGCAACUUUAGUUUGUUUCUCUAGAUUCAUAAAUAACGGAAUCAAAAGACCAUGAAAAACGGAAUUUUUAUGUUUACAUGGUCGCCAUAUUGUGACGAAAUGACGAAGAAACUGGCUAACGAAUUAUUUAGGAGACAUAUAUAUGAUCAACUUUUGUUCAAAGUUUCAAAUUAUUUGUACUUUUUUGGGACAUAAUUAAAAAUAUGUUAGUAAUAGACUUUUUUAAAUCUGAAAUUUGGUUACGGCUAGUCUGUCACUUGUGUGGUUUUGUAUAGAGAAGCGGUUCAACUGCCAGACUUGCGGGAGAGACUACAAACACAGGAAGAGUUUGCUCCUUCAUCUCCGCUACGAGUGCGGCAAAGAGCCGCAGUUCGCUUGUCCCCACUGUCCCUACCGGGCGAAACAGAAAGGGACACUCGCCUGCCACGUCUACAGCAAGCACGAGAAGUUUGUUCUCACAAGUGAUAGAUCUGAAGAAGGACGCGGCUCAAAUUGAGAGUACCAGAGUGUGGAAAACACGAGCGCCACGUGUGCCAGUGUGGUCGCUCGUACAAGUACAAGAAAGGCUUGUCGCAGCACCAGCGCUACGAGUGCGGCAAGGAGCCGCAGUUCGCUUGUCCCCACUGUCCCUACAGAGCCAAGCAGAAGGUGUCCCUCACUACACAUCUCUUCUGCAAGCAUCACAUUACGGUGCAGCCGUCCUCGUUGGAGUAGAAUAUUCUGUUUGUUUGUGGUGGCUGAACAUCGCUAAUGAUUAAGUUCCUUUCAUCAUAAUAUGUUUUAUUUAGUUUUCACUAUCGUCUGUCUAUAACUGUACUUUGCCAUUUUUCCAAUUCUAGUUGAACUUUUUGUUGAAAAUAAGACUGUCUACUCGUUGACAGUAGUUUUAAAAUGUUUUUCUUUUACAAAACUAAUUUAACAAUAAAUAUUAAAAAUAUAUCAAAAAUAGAUGAACUACAGAUGUGAUUCCAUUAAUUUUAAUAAUUUAACAAAAAUGCCGAGAUUAUUUAUUGAUUAAUAUGUUACUAAAUAUAAAAAUUCAUCUUGGUUGUACGAAACAGAUUAUAUCUGUUCUUUAUGUCCUGCUAAAACUUAGUUGUAAUACAUUAAUUACUAAUGUUCUUAUCGCUAUUAAAAUGCUUGAACCGAACCAAAGCGAAUUAGGGCUUAUGGACACCGCUACAAACACAGUGGGGUUUAUUUUUCAUACGAGUGUUAUUUGUAUUUAUUUUAAAUUAUAUUACAUGUAUUCAUUUUAAACUCCAUGACUUCUCAUUUAUGUUUGUUCAAGAACGUUGUUAUUAUUCAUUGUCUGUGUUGUUAUUUACUUAUAUUUCUUUGUUAGUCGUUAUUAAUUUUAAUUAUAUUAGUAAUGUUUACGGUGUAAAACCAUUGUAUUUGAAUUGGCUGCUCAAUAUAAACUGUUAACAGUUCAUUAAUUAAUAUCUCCCUCUGUUAAUACAAGACCCAUACUCACAUUGUUGGAGAAAUUAUCAGUUAUUAAUACAAUUUAUGCUUGUACUCUUAUAUUUAAAAGGAUAAAUAUUAUUAAAUUAAACGUAAAUGUACGCUUUUA
Molecule: long non-coding RNA, 4634 nt
Filed under: Homalodisca vitripennis (glassy-winged sharpshooter)
Lineage: Eukaryota; Metazoa; Arthropoda; Insecta; Hemiptera; Cicadellidae
Description: uncharacterized LOC124356103, transcript variant X1
Source: RNAcentral